CCUACGGGAGGCAGCAGUGAGGAAUAUUGGUCAAUGGACGAGAGUCUGAACCAGCCAAGUAGCGUGAAGGAUGACUGCCCUAUGGGUUGUAAACUUCUUUUAUAUGGGAAUAAAAUGUUCCACGUGUGGGAUUUUGUAUGUACCAUAUGAAUAAGGAUCGGCUAACUCCGUGCCAGCAGCCGCGGUAAUACGGAGGAUCCGAGCGUUAUCCGGAUUUAUUGGGUUUAAAGGGAGCGUAGGUGGAUUGUUAAGUCAGUUGUGAAAGUUUGCGGCUCAUCCGUAAAAUUGCAGUUGAAACUGGCAGUCUUGAGUACAGUAGAGGUGGGCGGAAUUCGUGGUGUAGCGGUGAAAUGCUUAGAUAUCACGAAGAACUCCGAUUGCGAAGGCAGUUCACUGGACUGCAACUGACACUGAGGCUCGAAAGUGUAGGUAUCAAACAGGAUUAGAUACCCGAGUAGUC
This 460-nucleotide ribosomal RNA is filed under the name uncultured bacterium. Its description in RNAcentral is "partial 16S ribosomal RNA". It matches the Rfam family "Bacterial small subunit ribosomal RNA", at positions 338 to 795 of the family's 1533-position model. The record is from RNAcentral.